ACCAGGAGCUGUGGCCCGUGCCUGGAGUCCCAGCUAUUUGGGAGGCUGAGACUAGAGGAUCUCUUGAGUCCAGGACUUCUCGGCUGUAUUGCGCUAUGCCAAUUGGGUGUCUAUACUAAGUUCGGCAUCAGUAUGGUGAUCUCCCUGGAGCGGGGGACCACCAGGUUGCCUAAGGAGGGGUGAAUCAGCCCAGGUUGGAAACGGAGCAAGUCAAAACUCCCAUGCUGCUCAGUAGUGGGAUCACGCCUGUGAAUAGCCACUGCACUACAGCCUGGGCAACACAGCGAGAUCCUGUCUCU
This 299-nucleotide signal recognition particle RNA is filed under the name Saimiri boliviensis boliviensis (Bolivian squirrel monkey). Its description in RNAcentral is "Metazoan signal recognition particle RNA (ENSSBOG00000002046.1)". It matches the Rfam family "Metazoan signal recognition particle RNA". From Rfam's summary of the family: The signal recognition particle (SRP) is a universally conserved ribonucleoprotein. It is involved in the co-translational targeting of proteins to membranes. The eukaryotic SRP consists of a 300-nucleotide 7S RNA and six proteins: SRPs 72, 68, 54, 19, 14, and 9. Lineage: Eukaryota; Metazoa; Chordata; Mammalia; Primates; Cebidae. The record is from RNAcentral.